GAUGAACGCUGGCGGCGUGCCUAAUACAUGCAAGUCGAGCGAACGGACGAGAAGCUUGCUUUUCUGAUGUUAGCGGCGGACGGGUGAGUAACACGUGGAUAACCUACCUAUAAGACUGGGAUAACUUCGUGAAACCGGAGCUAAUACCGGAUAAUAUUUUGAACCGCAUGGUUCAAAAGUGAAAGACGGUCUUGCUGUCACUUAUAGAUGGAUCCGCGCUGCAUUAGCUAGUUGGUAAGGUAACGGCUUACCAAGGCAACGAUGCAUAGCCGACCUGAGAGGGUGAUCGGCCACACUGGAACUGAGACACGGUCCAGACUCCUACGGGAGGCAGCAGUAGGGAAUCUUGCGCAAUGGGCGAAAGCCUGACGGAGCAACGCCGCGUGAGUGAUGAAGGUCUUCGGAUCGUAAAACUCUGUUAUUAGGGAAGAACAUAUGUGUAAGAAACUGUGCACAUCUUGACGGUACCUAAUCAGAAAGCCACGGCUAACUACGUG
This 497-nucleotide ribosomal RNA is filed under the name uncultured bacterium. RNAcentral's name for it is "partial 16S ribosomal RNA". It matches the Rfam family "Bacterial small subunit ribosomal RNA", at positions 28 to 507 of the family's 1533-position model. The record is from RNAcentral.